GAGAGAGCAGCAGGCGAGCCAAUACAGUUACUCAAAUGGCAAUACUUGCAUGCCAUCUACUCGCUUCGUUAAAUAUAGCACACUUCAAUAAAAAAAAUGCUGUGCCAACGUUUCAGUUCGGUUUCCAUUCAUCAAUAUAAGAAAGCGACCCAAACUGUGUCAAUCAGCGACAGCGACAGCGAUAGGAGACAGCGACAGUGGCAGAGACAGCGGCUGCGGCAGAGGCAGAGCCAGAGGAAGAGGCGAGGACAGCGAUGAGGCAAAGACCAGUUUAAAGCGAAUUGGCAGGUCUCGUGCGCUUAUCAGACCCGUUCGCCAUCUCAGUUUGUUUGUUGGGCAAAGGUGACCCGGCGAACUGUGGGGCUAUCAGCGGCGACAAACAUGCACGCAUACUAACACACACACACACACACUCGCACACACACACACAGACACUCGCUCAAGUGAAGAGCGUUUGAAAUUUGCGUUGGGUUGGUUUGACUGACCGCGCGAAUUAUGAUUGAAUAAUGUGCCCACAACGAGGGUCGCAGCCGUAGUCGCUUGCCAGUCAAUUAUGCAAAACGGUUACUGCACUUUGCAUUAAUUAACAACAAGAACAGAAACAGCAACAACAACGACAACAACAGCAGCAGCAAAUGCAAAUAACUAAUAGACACAAACUCUUUGCUCCGCAGUCAUACAAUUUGCACGUGUCGUGCCUAGGCCUAAGCUCAGCUUGCAAGGCAAACAGCUGUUCUAAGAGAGAGAGAGAGAGAGAGCGAAUGGGAGAGUGAGUGGGAGAGUGAGUGGGAGAGUGCACAAAGCGCAAGGCAAGAAAUUGCUGUUGUUGUUAUUGCUGCUGUUGUUAUUGUAUUGUAUGCUGCCUCCCUUCCAGUUUUUUAACGGAACAUACAUUCUAAAAACAUUACAUAAAGUUCUGCCAUCAUCAUCAUCAUCAUCAUCAUCAUCAUCAUCAUCAUCAUCAUCAUCGGCGUCGGGGGGUCUAGACACCGUCAAGCCCCGACGCGGCAUCAUUCACCAACGACUACUCAGUUUAUUUAAUUAUAGUAAAAUGUACAAAUAAAAUAAAUAUUCAUUAUAUGUAUAGCUUGUAUGUAUGUAUAGUGCCUUAAAUAUUAAUCGUUUACUAAAUAUUCUC
Molecule: long non-coding RNA, 1138 nt
Organism: Drosophila montana
Lineage: Eukaryota; Metazoa; Arthropoda; Insecta; Diptera; Drosophilidae
Exons: 3
Source: RefSeq, a predicted model, not a curated record